CAACGAUAAGGAAGGUGGAAAUCCUUCCCGCCGUAAACCCAAGGCUUCCUGGGGAAGGUUCGUCCUCCCAGGGUUAGUCGGGACCUAAGUCGAGGCCAAUAGGCGUAGACGAUGGACAGCAGGUUCAAUAUUCCUGCACCACCGACAUUUAAAGAAGGGGGACGUAACGAUAGAGAAGAGCGAGGUGUUGAUUAUCCUUGUGCCGCAAGGCGACGCAGAGGCUACGGCUGAAGCGGAUUCUUUGACAAAGUUACCAAGAAAAGCCCUUCUGUAUACUAAGGUGCCCGUACCGUAAACCGACACAGGUGGGUGGGUAGAAUAUACCAAGGCGCGCGAGUGACACCUCUUUAAGGAACUCUGCAAUCUAGCCCCGUAACUUCGGAAGAAGGGGCGCCUCUCGUAAGAGAGGCCGCAGUGAAAGGGGUCAACCGACUGUUUAGCAAAAACACAGCUCUCUGCUAAGUCGUAAGACGAUGUAUAGGGAGUGACACGUGACCAAUGCUCCAAGAUUAAGAGGAGGGGUUAGCCGCAAGGCGAGGCUCUGAAUCCAAGUCCGAGUGAAUGUCGGCCGUAACAAUAACGGUCCUAAGGUAGCGAAAUUCCUUGUCGGGUAAGUUCCGACCUGCACGAAUCGUGUAACGAGUUGACCGCUGUCUCAAAGAGGAGCUCGGUGAAGUUGUAGUGGCGGUGAAAAUGCCGCCUACCCGCAGCAGGACGGAAAGACCCCGUGCACCUUUACUGUAAGCUGUUACUGUAUCGCUGAUUUCAAUACUUAGCGUAAGUGGGAGACUGUGAAGUCCUGAUUUCGGUCAGGACAGAGUCGCCAAUGAAACACCACCUUUUGAAAUCGGUAAUACUAACCCUGUCCCGUAAUCCGGGUGGGGGACAAUGGCAGCGGGUCAGUUUGACUGGGGCGGUCUCCUCCAAAAUGGUAACGGAGGAGCACUAAGGUUUCCUCAGCAUGGUUGUUAAUCAUGCGUCGAGUGUAUAGGCAGAAGGAAGCUUAACUGUGAGACAUACAAGUCGAACAGAUACGAAAGUAGGUCUAAGUGAUCCGGCGGUUGAAUGUGGAAUUGCCGUCGCUCAUCGGACAAAAGGUACGCCGGGGAUAACAGGCUGAUCGAUCCCAAGAGUUCAUAUCGACGGAUCGGUUUGGCACCUCGAUGUCGGCUCAUCGCGUCCUGGGGCUGGAGAAGGUCCCAAGGGUCCGGCUGUUCGCCGGUUAAAGCGGUACGCGAGCUGGGUUCAGAACGUCGUGAGACAGUUCGGUCCUCUAUCCGCUGUGGGCGCAGGAAACUUGACAGGUUCACUCCUUAGUACGAGAGGACCGGGAGUGACGGACCUCUGGUGUUCCGGUUAUCGUGUCAACGGUAGCGCCGGGUAGCUAUGUCCGGAAGGGAUAAGCGCUGAAAGCAUCUAAGCGCCAAGCCCCUCUGAAGAUAAGGUUUCCCUAUUAGGGUCGUGGAAGACUACCACGUUGAUAGGACACAUGUGUACGCGCAGUAAUGUGCUCAGCUAAGUGUUACUAAUUUCCG
This 1535-nucleotide ribosomal RNA is filed under the name metagenome. RNAcentral's name for it is "bacterial LSU rRNA". It matches the Rfam family "Bacterial large subunit ribosomal RNA", at positions 1307 to 2911 of the family's 2925-position model. The record is from RNAcentral.